GCCCUAAUUCCUCGGGAGGCAGCAGUAAUGCGAAUUUUGGCAAUGGAGGAAGCUUAGUCUGAGCACCGCCGCGUGAAUGACGAAGUACUUCGUAUGUAAAGUCUUUUAUCACGAAGAAAAGCAAAUAGGUGAACCAUUUGUUUGCCGGUGUUGAUGAAUAAGCCCCGGCUAAUUAUGUGCCAGCAGCCGCGGUGAGACAUAAGGGGCAAGUGUUAUCCGGAAUUUUUGGGCGUAAAGGGUGCGUAGGCGGUGUAGUAAGUCAGUGGUGUAAUGGCAACGCUAACGUUGUCCGGCUAUUUGAAACUGCUAAACUGAGUUAGAUAGAGGCGAGUGGAAUUCCAUGUGUAGCGGUAAAAUGCGUAAAUAUAUGGAGGGACACCAGAGGCGUAGGCGGCUCGCUGGGUUUUAACUGACGCUGAGGCACGAAAGCGUGGGGAGCAAACAGGAUUAGAUACCCUGGUAGUCCACGCCGUAAACGAUGAGUAGUAAGUGUCGGGUUAAACCGGUAGUGAAGUUAACACAUUAAGUACUCCGCCUGAGUAGUACGUACGCAAGUAUGAAACUUAAAGGAAUUGACGGGACUCCGCACAAGCGGUGGAUCAUGUUGUUUAAUUUGAAGAUACCCGAAAAACCUUACCAGGUCUUGACAUGUUUUUGCAAAAUGAUAGUAAUAUCGUGGAGGUUACCAGAAACACAGGUGGUGCAUGGUUGUCGUCAGCUCGUGUCGUGAGAUGUUAGGGUUAGUCCUAAAUUGAGCGAAACCCUUAUCGUUAGUUGUCAGCGCGUUAUGGUGGGGACUUUAACGAGAUUGCCAAUGAUAAAUUGGCGGAAGCUGAGGAUCACGUCAAAUCAGCAUGCCCCUUAUGCCCCGGGGUACAAACGUGAUACAAUGGCUGUUACAAAGGGUAGUUGAAACGCAAGUUAGUGGCCAAUCCCCAAAAACAGUCCCAGUCCGGAUUGAAGUAUGCAUACUCGACUUCAUGAAUCUUGGUAAUCAGUCGUACGUGAGAUUCCAG
This 1016-nucleotide ribosomal RNA is filed under the name 'Cajanus cajan' phyllody phytoplasma. RNAcentral's name for it is "bacterial SSU rRNA". It matches the Rfam family "Bacterial small subunit ribosomal RNA", at positions 329 to 1352 of the family's 1533-position model. Lineage: Bacteria; Bacillati; Mycoplasmatota; Mollicutes; Acholeplasmatales; Acholeplasmataceae. The record is from RNAcentral.